UUUUUUUUUUUUUUUUUGUUAAUAUUACACCGAUUUUUCUUCAUAAAUAAAAAUUUAGACCAAAUAUUUAUCCAUGAGCUUAACUGAGUUGGCAAUGAUAUUGCACUUUAUAUGAAGGGUUGGGUUCGAACCUCAUACACCCCACUUCUUCAUAAUUAAAUUUUGUGAGCUCUAGCCAUUAAGUUACUUGAUUUCUUCUUAACUAUUUGUCACUUGGUAGAAUUUAAUAACCACUUGAACUUAAAUAUUUGGUUAAUUAUAGAAUUAUUUUACUAUAUAUAUAUAUAACACUAUUAAAAAAAAAAAAUUUACUAUAUAUAAAAGAAUAGAUCGAACGUAAAUAAAAUACUUCAUUUGUCCCUAAUUAUAAGUACCUUUUCAAAAAAGUUGUGUCCCUAAAUAUAAGCCCUUGUACAAAUUACUGGCUAAAUUUAUUUAUUUUUUCCAAACAUAACCUUAAUUGACAGUACUAUAAACAAAGAGCAAUUUAGAAUAUGAAAAGUAACAUUGACUCACAAAAUAAACAUAUUAAUGGUAUUAUCAACUUUUCUUUUUGAUCAAGAAGACUUAUAAUAUGGGACGAAGGAAAAAAUAAAGACUUUUAAUAUGAUUUUUUCAUUUUAAAAUUUACCAUUUAUCAUUGUUGUUGGCGAGCAUGUAAAACAAUAAGGACAUGUUAACAUUUGAACCAAAUUAUUCUAUAUAUUCAUUACUCCCUUUGCUGCCAAUUAUAAGUAAAAUUGAUGUUUUAGGUUCAUUAAAUUAAUGAUGUAUUUAGUUUAUAUUAUGGACACAUACAUCAUUAAUUAAAUAAACAUAAAAAGUGAAAUUUGCUUAUAAUUGGCAACAAAAUGAGUAUCUGUCUGGAUUUAGUCAUACUCAUAAAAAGGAGGUCAAAUUAGUCUCCAUUUCAAUUCAAGACAAAUUAAUCAUAUCUUCUUGACAUCUCCUUCUGUACUCAAACUCUAAUCUUAAUCAUUUUCUUGUGAAGUCUAAGAAUGCAUUCGAGAACUAAGUAAGUUUUGAGAGAAGCGGAGUGUUUAUAAAAAAAAAAGAAAAAAGUGGAAAGAAUUGAGAGGCAUGAGAGUGGAGCGUUUUAGGGUUUAAUUUUUUUUUUUUUUUGAAGAAAGGGUUUACUUUUCUUCACAAUACAAAAUCGUCUUAAUAUGGUGAAAUUAAAAAAUUGUAUUGGAUGGUGGGUUUUGGGUAAGUUUUUCAAAUCUAAUUUAUGCCGUUAUAAUACUUUCAAAGUUAAAAAUACAUUAAUCAUAAGUAUUUAUUUAUCAUUCUCUAUAAAAUCACUCUCUCAAAAAAUUUGAAAUAUUUUUCUAUUUUUUCCUCUAAUAUCAUCCCUCCAAAACCCUCCAUUCCCUUCUUCUCCAAACUCCCAAACAGAGUGUAUGUUUUUUUGUUUUCAUCUCUACAUCCUUUUUUUUCUAAAACAAAUCCUAUAAGUUAAUAAUGUUUUCAUUUUCGUAUCUUCCGUUAACAUCUGUUACAAAAAUGCUGAUGUGUCUAACGCCGGUUGACGUGGCGUUGUUUGACGUGACAAGAUUACAGGGACCAAAACCCAAAACAAAAAGUUACAGAGGGACGAUAUUAAAAAUCUUGAAUUAACAUAAUUUCAAAUUAAAAACCUCGUUUUCCUUUCUUCAUGUUCUUCUUUCCUCUUCUUCAUAAUCUUCAACCUUACCUUCAACAACAUUCAUUGAUUUUCAUCAAACCCAAAAAAUAUAAAUUAAACAUUCAAACUCUUUAAUCAAAAUCUCAUUUCCCAUUUCAAUCAAAAUCUUCUCCUUCACCAAAUUCAAUUUAUUCUCAAUUCCAAAUCCAAAUCAUUCUCAAACCUAAAACCUCUAAAUCUACCCUCAAACUGCAUCCAUUUUCUUCACAAGGUUCCAUUUUGGGAGUAGAAUCUCUUUAUAACCAAAUUAUUGUUGCUGAAGUAAUUGGAUUUAAGGAGUUUCAUUAUGGAAAUGCAAAGGAUAAGAAACAUAAGAUAAAAAUGUUACACGAACCAAAAGAUGAAAGCAUACACGAAGACAUUUUAAAUCUAAGGGAACUAUGCAUAAUUAUAAGAAAACUGCACUUGUAACAUAGAAAGAACAAAAGAAGUUGAAACUAUAUAAGAUGGAGGGUUUAAACCAUCAUCAGCACCAUGGUUCAAAAAACUCAACAAACUGAAGUUGAAGAAAAAGAUAAACUAUGUGAAGGUAUCAAAGAGAAGUACAAAUGUUCACUAGGAUCAUAAAGGAAUGAUCCUACGAAAUAUAUCAAAAAANGUUAUUGAAUUUUAAAGGAUAAAUAGUUAUUUAUUCAGUUUAUGAUUUUAAGAAAAGAAUGUGACAUUCCGUUUAUGUGAAUACUCUGAUAAAUGUUUAUGAAAUUUUUAAGCUGGGAAAACGGGGUGUUACACAUCUCACCACCUAAAUGUUUCUCUAAAGAAGAUAGGGUUGAUGGAGAAGAUGGUUGUUGAGGUUGGUGUUCUUCUGAAAUAACUUCUGUUGAAGCUACUUCAGAGGCUAUUUAUGGUUCUGGGUUUGGUUCUGGUAGAAUAACAUUGAGGGCAGGAAUAACAGGAGGUUGAAGGGGAUGAUCUUCUGGCAGUUUGUUGCAGACUGCAAUCCUCCUUUUGGCCAUACUGAUUGUCCUUUCAUCAAUGUUAGAAGGUUCAAAGGAGUAUGUUUGUGGUUGAUUGGAAGUUUCAGUUGAUUUGGAUUUGGGAAGAGGCUCUUUGUGGAUUUUGGAGGAUGGUGAAGGGUUUUUAUACUCUUGACUAAUCAGAGUAUCAUCUAAUUCAAAUGAGGAUAGGGAAGUUGAUUCAUAUGAGAUAGAGAGGGUUAAGUCUGAUUCUACAUUUACAACAGAGUGUGGAGAAUCAGGAAUACCUUUCAGAUUGUCUGAGAGAGUGGCUUCUGAUUCUGAUGCAUGAGCUUCUGAUGUGCCCUCUCCUCUUGGCACAGCUUCUUGUAACAGAACAGUUGCUUCCUUAACUGUCUGUUCUUGAACUUCAGCAGUCAGAGACAUAAUCUCAUAAGCUUUCUCAACACUUUGAGGAUCAACCUCAAAAAGUCAUGCAGCCUUGACCUUCUCAUCUCUUUCUCUUAUAUACUGCUCAGCUAGCUGCGCAUGAAUGAAUAAGAAUGAGAAUUAAGAUGAUGAUUCUAGGUUGUUGUUGUUGUUGAGGAACAAACAAUGAGUUUUGAUGAUGAAGAAUGAAUGAAUAAGAACAAAGAUGAUGAUGGUUUUGGGUGUCCAAGUUUAUUUCUUUCUUUCUUUUUGGAUUAAUGAAGAUGAGAGAAGAAGAGGAAGAAAAAUCUGAAAAGUAUUAGGUGUUAGUGGUUUACACUAAAAUACAAUAGACCUUACAUUAUCCAACAAUCCACUUUUAAAAAAAAAAUCAAAAUGUUAAAAUUAAAAAAUUUAUUAAGGUCCAUGGUGGACCACCUUUAAAUAUGGUUCACUUUAGAUAUUUGGUGUUAAAAACUAACGGAAAGGACCAAAAGAGGCAACGACAGAAAAUAUAAGGGACCAAAUUGAAACGUUUUUUAGUUAAGGGACCAUUUUGAAAAAAAGAAUUAAAUUAAAGGACUAAAUGAUGUAUUAAGCCUUUAAUAAUUAAUAGUUGUUUUAAACAUUAUUGUAUCUAUUUGUCAUCAUUUUAAAUAAAAUGUAAUUCAUGCAAAUUAUUAUUAUUAUUUUUUAAGUUCAUACGAACAAAUAAAUAUUUUAUAAUUUAAUUUUUGUUAAGGAUUAUAAUUAAAUAUUAUGAGGUAAUUUAUAAUUUAAUAAAUAAAUUAUUUUUGUUUAAUGUUGUAAAGUUAGUGAAGUCUAUUUAAGUAUUUUUCAUUGGAGUCCUUAUUAGUGUACUCCCAUUGGAGCCAUUGAAUCCUUGAUAAGUACUUUUAUUAAAAUAUUAUAAAUAAAUGAUGUGUAACAUGAGGUCCAUUUAAUGAGUCUCUGUUAAAGAACUGUCAUUGUGGAUGCUCCAAGGUGCCGGAAACUCUAGUAAUAUUUGAAGGACUUGUUUAGGGAAUUUGUAUCAACGAGAGCAUCAAAUCAACCACCCACCAAUCCAGGGGUGAAAUUCAAUUUUGUAGAUGGUGAAAACAUUCCACCCUUGAAACUAAAAAUAAUAAGUAUAUAUGAAAAAUUCUUUCAAAAAAAAUAAAUACAUAUGAAUUAAGGAUGCAAGUAUAAGAAGUGAAGAUAACAAGGAUAGAAGUCACUGCCUUUCAACAAAAAAAGGAUAGAAAUCACUGAAGAUAAUAAUCGAAUACCAAAAUGUCAAAAUAUGUAAUAAAAAAGAACACUGGUGGAAGAAGAUCCAAUAACUGAUGGUAAAAAACACAAUUGCAGCGGUGGUAUUAGAGCUUCAACAGUUAAAACUAAUCAGAAAAUAGACGCUAGGAAUGUUAUUUCAAUUUCANUUA
This 4433-nucleotide long non-coding RNA is filed under the name Medicago truncatula (barrel medic). RNAcentral describes it as "long non-coding RNA (MTRU_LNC002748)". Lineage: Eukaryota; Viridiplantae; Streptophyta; Magnoliopsida; Fabales; Fabaceae. The record is from RNAcentral.